AGGGUUCGAUUCUGGCUCAGAACGAACGCUGGCGGCAGGCUUAACACAUGCAAGUCGAACGAGAAACUUACUUCGGUAAGUGGAAAGUGGCAGACGGGUGAGUAACGCGUGGCAACCUACCUUUUUCUACGGAACAACAGUUGGAAACGACUGCUAAUACCGUAUACGCCCUCCGGGGGAAAGAUUUAUCGGUGAAAGAUGGGGCCGCGUUAGAUUAGCUAGUUGGUGAGGUAAUGGCUCACCAAGGCGACGAUCUAUAGCUGGUCUGAGAGGAUGAUCAGCCACACUGGGACUGAGACACGGCCCAGACAACUACGGUUGGCAGCAGUGGGGAAUAUUGGACAAUGGGGGCAACCCUGAUCCAGCCAUGCCGCGUGAAUGAUGAAGGCCUUAGGGUUGUAAAAUUCUUUCGCUAGGGAUGAUAAUGACAGUACCUAGUAAAGAAGCCCCGGCUAACUCCGUGCCAGCCGCCGCGGUAAUACA
Molecule: ribosomal RNA, 483 nt
Filed under: uncultured bacterium
Lineage: Bacteria
Description: bacterial SSU rRNA
Rfam family: Bacterial small subunit ribosomal RNA
Source: RNAcentral